GGGCCCGUGGCCUAGCCAGGAUCAAAGGCACCGAACAACUCUGAGCAAGGGGUAGCGUGCAGGCCUCCGGAGCCGGAGAUCCCGGGUUCAAAUCCCGGCGGGCCCGCCA
RNAcentral lists this transfer RNA (109 nucleotides) under Pseudomonadota bacterium. RNAcentral describes it as "tRNA-Arg". It matches the Rfam family "tRNA". From Rfam's summary of the family: Transfer RNA (tRNA) molecules are approximately 80 nucleotides in length. Their secondary structure includes four short double-helical elements and three loops (D, anti-codon, and T loops). Further hydrogen bonds mediate the characteristic L-shaped molecular structure. tRNAs have two regions of fundamental functional importance: the anti-codon, which is responsible for specific mRNA codon recognition, and the 3' end, to which the tRNAs corresponding amino acid is attached (by aminoacyl-tRNA synthetases). tRNAs cope with the degeneracy of the genetic code in two manners: having more than one tRNA (with a specific anti-codon) for a particular amino acid; and 'wobble' base-pairing, i.e. permitting non-standard base-pairing at the 3rd anti-codon position. The record is from RNAcentral. RNAcentral also lists the same sequence under 2 other names. Lineage: Bacteria; Pseudomonadati; Pseudomonadota.